CGCUAAUGGAUGUAGAAGGAGAGCAUCGUGCAGUCUUGGCUGGCAGCAAGAUGCACCCGGGAGAGGAUGUUGGCGUAGGACAAUGAUCGGCAACCCUGCCGUCAGGAUGUAAAUACGCCCGUCUAUACUUUAUAGACUAGAUAUACUUCAGUUGCUUGUCAUAUCAUUCUACCUGUCAUCUUCUAAAGAAAGCAUUGAUCGAACAACAUUGUUAUAAAGAUUUCCCUGAAUUUAUUACUUUAUUUUUAUAAAUAGUUGCAUCCUGAAAAUCACUAAAGAACCCGACCUACGUGGCGGAACAGCGGAUUGAAUUUAUUGGCCAAUUAGCUUGCAAGGCCCACUGAAAUAUUUUGAAGCGGAAUAUACGACUAUCAAAAUCAGUGAGACGACCUUUUAUUUGUUGGCCAACAGUUCCUUUUUUUACAUGUUAUUCAUGUUAUUGUUCAUUGAAACGCCUUAACAAAUGUUAAAAGUAAUAGGAAUUGUGAAUAUAACUGUUAGUAUUUGAAUUUACUGCUGAAAUCGAUAAACUUUUCACAAG
Molecule: long non-coding RNA, 541 nt
Filed under: Aedes aegypti (yellow fever mosquito)
Lineage: Eukaryota; Metazoa; Arthropoda; Insecta; Diptera; Culicidae
Description: lncRNA AAEL021285
Source: RNAcentral